UACGGGAGGCAGCAGUGGGGAAUAUUGCACAAUGGGCGAAAGCCUGAUGCAGCUAUGCCGCGUGUAUGAAGAAGGCCUUAGGGUUGUAAAGUACUUUCAUCGGGGAGGAAAAACAAAACUAAUAAUUUUAUUUCUUGACGUUACCCGAAAAAGAAGCACCGGCUAACUCCGUGCCAGCAGCCGCGGUAAUACGGAGGGUGCUAGCGUUAAUCAGAAUUACUGGGCGUAAAGAGCACGUAGGUGGUUUUUUUAAGUCAGAUGUGAAAUCCCUGGGCUUAACCUGGAACUGCAUUUUGAAACUGAAAUACUAGAGUAUCGUAGAGGGAGGUAGAAUUCUAGGUGUAGCGGUGAAAUGCGUAGAUAUCUGGAGGAAUACCUGUGGCGAAAGCGGCCUCCUAAACGAAUACUGACACUGAGGUGCGAAAGCGUGGGGAGCGAAACAGGGAUUAGAUACC
RNAcentral lists this ribosomal RNA (455 nucleotides) under uncultured bacterium. Its description in RNAcentral is "bacterial SSU rRNA". It matches the Rfam family "Bacterial small subunit ribosomal RNA", at positions 340 to 786 of the family's 1533-position model. The record is from RNAcentral.